AUUGAACGCUGGCGGCAGGCCUAACACAUGCAAGUCGAGCGGAUGAAGGGAGCUUGCUCCUGGAUUCAGCGGCGGACGGGUGAGUAAUGCCUAGGAAUCUGCCUGGUAGUGGGGGAUAACGUCCGGAAACGGGCGCUAAUACCGCAUACGUCCUGAGGGAGAAAGUGGGGGAUCUUCGGACCUCACGCUAUCAGAUGAGCCUAGGUCGGAUUAGCUAGUUGGUGGGGUAAAGGCCUACCAAGGCGACGAUCCGUAACUGGCCUGAGAGGAUGAUCAGUCACACUGGAACUGAGACACGGUCCAGACUCCUACGGGAGGCAGCAGUGGGGAAUAUUGGACAAUGGGCGAAAGCCUGAUCCAGCCAUGCCGCGUGUGUGAAGAAGGUCUUCGGAUUGUAAAGCACUUUAAGUUGGGAGGAAGGGCAGUAAGUUAAUACCUUGCUGUCUUGACGUUACCAACAGAAUAAGCACCGGCUAACUUCGUG
RNAcentral lists this ribosomal RNA (484 nucleotides) under uncultured bacterium. RNAcentral describes it as "partial 16S ribosomal RNA". It matches the Rfam family "Bacterial small subunit ribosomal RNA", at positions 30 to 507 of the family's 1533-position model. The record is from RNAcentral.